Molecule: ribosomal RNA, 721 nt
Filed under: uncultured Glomus
Lineage: Eukaryota; Fungi; Glomeromycota; Glomeromycetes; Glomerales; Glomeraceae
Description: SSU rRNA
Rfam family: Eukaryotic small subunit ribosomal RNA
Source: RNAcentral
GAUAGAGCCUACCAUGGUUUUAACGGGUAACGGGGAAUUAGGGUUCGAUUCCGGAGAGGGAGCCUGAGAAACGGCUACCACUUCUAAGGAAGGCAGCAGGCGCGCAAAUUACCCAAUCCCGACACGGGGAGGUAGUGACAAUAAAUAACAAUACAGGGCCUUUACAGGUUUUGUAAUUGGAAUGAGUACAAUUUAAAUCUCUUAACGAGGAACAAUUGGAGGGCAAGUCUGGUGCCAGCAGCCGCGGUAAUUCCAGCUCCAAUAGCGUAUAUUAAAGUUGUUGCAGUUAAAAAGCUCGUAGUUGAAUUUCGGGACUAAUAUGUCGGUCGUGCCUCGGUACGUACUGGUUUAUUGGUUUCUCCUUUCUGAAGAACCAUGAUGUCAUUUAUUUGGUGUCGUGGGGAAUCAGGACUGUUACUUUGAAAAAAUUAGAGUGUUUAAAGCAGGCUCACGCUUGAAUACAUUAGCAUGGAAUAAUGAAAUAGGACGUUUGAUUCUAUUUUGUUGGUUUCUAGGAUCGACGUAAUGAUUAAUAGGGAUAGUUGGGGGCAUUAGUAUUCAAUUGUCAGAGGUGAAAUUCUUGGAUUUAUUGAAGACUAACUACUGCGAAAGCAUUUGCCAAGGAUGUUUUCAUUAAUCAAGAACGAAAGUUAGGGGAUCGAAGACGAUCAGAUACCGUCGUAGUCUUAACCAUAAACUAUGCCGACUAGGGAUCGGAUGA